Molecule: long non-coding RNA, 202 nt
Filed under: Elaeis guineensis (African oil palm)
Lineage: Eukaryota; Viridiplantae; Streptophyta; Magnoliopsida; Arecales; Arecaceae
Description: long non-coding RNA (EGUI_LNC059133)
Source: RNAcentral
GGGCAUUCUACCUUCGCACAUGCCCAAGCUGUUGGGUGAUCUCUUCUACAUCAAGGAAUAGGAAGAAAAGCUGUAGUUUAAGUAUUGACUUCAUGGACAAAGAUCAAUAGUUGAUCAAAGAUCCAAAAGGCUGAGAUUCAUCUCGGAGAAGAUGGAUCAAGAAUGAGAAGAAAGAUUCAAGAUUAAUCUCAUUGGAUAUCUG